UAGUCUGGAGAGGUGCCAUCGGUCCCCCUCGGCGCCAAAAUCCCUUGGAACGGGGUAUCGGAGAAGGUGAGAAUCCUGUCAAGCGCCGGAGUGGGACCGUACGAUGUGCUCUCGUAGAGUCGGGCUGCUUGGGAGUGCAGCCUGAAGCGGGUGGUAAAUUCCAUCUAAAGCUAAAUACUGGCGGGAGACCGAUAGCGAACAAGUACCGUGAGGGAAAGAUGCAAAGAACUUUGAAAAGAGAGUUAAAGAGUGCUUGAAAUUGGCAGGAGGAAACCCGGUUGCGCGUGGCAUUUGGCGUGGUCGACUCAGCCGCGCGCGGAGAUCUGUAGGGGACCUAACGGCCUCGUGGUCAGCGCGUGCGGUGCACUUCGGCCGCGUCGGUCAGCCGCGUUUCUGCGCGGUCCAUACGGCCGUGGGCAGGGCUUCGGCGCCGCCUGCGGUUUGGGGGUCGCGCGGGAUCCCGGCUGAUGCGCACGGGCGCAACCGACCCGUCUAGAAACACGGACCAAGGAGUCUGACGCGUGUGCG
This 528-nucleotide ribosomal RNA is filed under the name Phaeocystis globosa. Its description in RNAcentral is "partial large subunit ribosomal RNA". It matches the Rfam family "Eukaryotic large subunit ribosomal RNA", at positions 146 to 688 of the family's 3401-position model. The record is from RNAcentral. Lineage: Eukaryota; Haptophyta; Phaeocystales; Phaeocystaceae.